GUGAAUCAUCAAAUUUUUGAACGCAAAUUGCGCUUCCUAGCAUCCCGGGAAGUAUGCCUGUUUGAGGAUCAGUAUUAACAAAAAAAUCGGUUUGUUUUCAAAUUGUGACGGUUCCGGGGUGUGGUCGAUCUUAGCUUUUUUUGUUAAGUGGCUUAAAAUUGACCUUUUUUGCGCAUUUUUAGACGUACAUAAAUUUUUUUUUUAUUUGUUUAUUUUUAUUCCCAAUAUCUUUUUAUUGUCUAU
This 243-nucleotide unclassified non-coding RNA is filed under the name Glomeraceae sp. Its description in RNAcentral is "partial contains 5.8S ribosomal RNA and internal transcribed spacer 2". The stretch from base 1 to 71 matches the Rfam family "5.8S ribosomal RNA", at positions 84 to 154 of the family's 154-position model. Lineage: Eukaryota; Fungi; Glomeromycota; Glomeromycetes; Glomerales; Glomeraceae. The record is from RNAcentral.